This 1363-nucleotide ribosomal RNA is filed under the name Erysipelotrichaceae bacterium WH043. RNAcentral describes it as "bacterial SSU rRNA". It matches the Rfam family "Bacterial small subunit ribosomal RNA". The record is from RNAcentral. Lineage: Bacteria; Bacillati; Bacillota; Erysipelotrichia; Erysipelotrichales; Erysipelotrichaceae.
UAAUACAUGCAGUCGAACGAGCACUUCGGUGUUAGUGGCGAACGGGUGAGUAACACGUAAAUAACCUGCCCCAAAGACUGGGAUAACUAUUGGAAACGAUAGCUAAUACCGGAUAGGUAACUCGAAGGCAUCUUUGAGAUAUUAAAGUUUAGAUACACUAUGGGAUGGAUUUGCGGAGUUUAGUUAGUUGGUGAGGUAACGGCCCACCAAGACGAUGAUGCAUAGCCGACCUGAGAGGGUGACCGGCCACACUGGGACUGAGACACGGCCCAGACUCCUACGGGAGGCAGCAGUAGGGAAUUUUCGGCAAUGGGGGAAACCUGACCGAGCAACGCCGCGUGAGUGAAGAAGGUUUUCGGAUUGUAAAGCUCUGUUGUAAGGGACGAACGUAUAGGAUAGAAUCUUAUAGUGACGGUACCUUACCAGAAAGCCACGGCUAACUACGUGCCAGCAGCCGCGGUAAUACGUANAUGGCAAGCGUUAUCCGGAVNAUAUUGGGCGUAAAGGGUGCGCAGUGGGUUAAUUAAGUCUGAGGUAAAAGCGUGGAGCUCAACUCCAUUUGGCCUGGAAACUGUAACUAGAGUGCAGAGAGGGUAGUGGAAUUCCAUGUGUAGCGUAAAAUGCGUAGAUAUAUGGAGGAACACAGUGGCGAAGGGGCUACCUGGGUCUGUACUGACAGUCAUGCGCGAAGUGGGAGCGAUAGAUUAGAUACCUAUAUCACGCUGUAAACGAUGAGCACUAAGUGUUGGAGAAAUUCAGUGCUGCAGUUAACGCAAUAAGUCUCCGCCUGGGAGUAUGCACGCAAGUGUGAAACUCAAAGGAAUUGACGGGGACCGCACAAGCGGUGGAGUAUGUGGUUUAAUUCGACGCAACGCGAAGAACCUUACCAGGUCUUGACAUACCUUGCAAAGCACUAGAGAUAGUGAAAUAGUUAUGGAGGAUACAGGUGGUGCAUGGUUGUCGUCAGCUCGUGUCGUGAGAUGUUGGGUUAAGUCCCGCAACGAGCGCAACCCUUGUCUUUAGUUACCAUCAUUAAGUUGGGGACUCUAAAGAGACUGCCGGUGAUAAACCGGAGGAAGGUGGGGAUGACGUCAAAUCAUCAUGCCCCUUAUGACCUGGGCAACACACGUACUACAAUGGCAAGUACAGAGGGAAGCGAAAUGGCAACAUGAAGCAAAACUCAAAAAGCUUGUCUCAGUUCGGAUUGUAGUCUGCAACUCGACUACAUGAAGUUGGAAUCGCUAGUAAUCGCGGAUCAGCAUGCCGCGGUGAAUACGUUCUCGGGUCUUGUACACACCGCCCGUCAAACCAUGAGAGUCGAUAAUGCCCAAACCGGUGGCCUAACCGUAAGGAGGGAGCCGUC